This is a long non-coding RNA of Cercocebus atys (sooty mangabey), 1500 nucleotides long. RefSeq lists it as uncharacterized. The record is from RefSeq and is a predicted model, not a curated record. NCBI's taxonomy places the organism in Eukaryota, Metazoa, Chordata, Mammalia, Primates, Cercopithecidae. The transcript is spliced from 3 exons.
GUUCCUGGCACAUAGUAGGUGUUCAAUUGAGGUUUGUGGAAUUCAAUUGCACGCCAAUAUGUCCAUGAAACAGUAUUUUAAAAAUAUGUGACUUUUCUCCCUAAAAAAAAUCACAGAGUUGUCAACACUGAAAACUUUGUAGCUUCUAAAGAAAGUUGCUGAUCAGUGAAGCAAAGAACAAGUCAAGAAUCAAGUACGGUUUGCCCUUCAAAAACCAAUGACUGACAACAAUAAAGCUACAAGUGAUUUAUUAUCUUCUUGAGGUGCAUACAUUUAUUUUGCUCAAGGUGUGUAUUUUAUACCUCCUAACAGCCUUGAAGAGAGUUUAAAAAAAAUGUUCUCUGACUUUUAUGCUUCCCAGGUCAUUCUAGUACUGUACCUUGUGGAGAGAAGUAAAAAUAAGCUAUAAAGGCAUACCUUCAGUGCUUUCGGGUUCACACUUUCUUCUUUAUAAAAACAGAAAUUUACCUGCUAGUAGUCCGAGUUAUUUUCCGUGGCAAGUUAAACCAUAAGCUAAUUUCUCACUGUCUUCUGAAAUACACAUGAUCUGAUACUUGUGGAUAAAAUCAGUCUUACACUUUUGUAUAUUUCUCAGAAUACUUUCCUCAUGGGUUUGCUAGAUGAACAUUUUGGUGAUUUUUGAUCAGUAAUAUCAACAUAUAUUUUAUCUUGUUUUAUUUUAAAUGCUUGUAUAAUCCACAGUUCUCUUUAGAGCAGUGCUCCUCAGAGUGUGUUCCAGGGUCUGGUUACAGGUCUUGGAGAUGUUUGGCUCAGUUCUCAAUAAGAUAAGGAGCUUGUGCCAGAAGAUAAAUUAACUGUGCCACUAAGCAUGCUGUUUAGUUCAACUGAUGUUUUUUUCUUAUAUUUUUCAUAGCAACACCUUAUUGAUGAAUGAAGUGCACUAGUUUACAUUAUGGCACAAGCUUCUCUUCUCCUUGUACACUUGCAUUUGAGUAGCGUUGUUGUAGAGAACCUGCACCUAUGUACAUGUGACAUGGUCCUACUCACUGCUUACUGAGUCUAGAUGGACUCUUGGCCCAUUCUGUGUGACAAUUGUCUUUCUUCCUCUCCUCUCCCUCCUCCUUUCUCAGUUUCUCUCUCCGUAAUAGGAACUAAAAGGUAUGGGGACAUCUAGAUGGAGUUGUUGAUUUGCAGUGGAUGUGUGUGCUGAAGGGUCUUGGCUGGAGCCAAUUCCAUGCAAGAUCAAGCCAUAAGCAAACCAAAAUUCUGAGGAGCAAAAGCUAUGAGGACACAGAAGGCCUUCACCGGAUGCCAGUGUCACACUCUUGAACUUUCACACCUCCAGAACCGUAGGCCAGACCUUUCCAGAUGAGCCCUUAAGAGGGUCUGAAUUAUUCAAGGCGAAAGAGUUCCCCAGAGCAGCUGAGUCUACAAUUACCCUCUUUUUGCUGGAUCUGCUCUUCCUAACUGCCUGCCCUACAGAUUCCUAGAUUCCUUGUAAUCUGUGUGUGUAUGUGUGUCUGUCUCUCUCUCUCUAUA